AUCGCUUCUCGGCCUUUUGGCUAAGAUCAAGUGUAGUACCUUGAUGUUAGCAAAGCCUUUGAUACGGUCUCCCACAGUAU
RNAcentral lists this small nuclear RNA (80 nucleotides) under Pelodiscus sinensis (Chinese soft-shelled turtle). RNAcentral's name for it is "U2 spliceosomal RNA (ENSPSIG00000019574.1)". Lineage: Eukaryota; Metazoa; Chordata; Testudines; Trionychidae. The record is from RNAcentral.